GGCCGUGCUCCGAGCUCAACGAUCCUGCGGCUGGUUGAAGUUACUCAGUAUCUCCCGAAAUAUCUUCUGUGCAUUUAAGAUCACCAACAUUUAAGGAGAAGGUAGAGGAGCAGGAGCUAUGAAAGAGGAUCGGGAAGUACGGGUCUCCACGGAAGGGGCUGGUAGGCGAAAUGCUGCACCUCUCAGGCUCCCUUCCUGUUAGGGUUCUGGAUCUGAUUUAGAGUUUACUGAUGAAAGAAACUCACAUAAACUUUAUGGGACAGAAGGGAGGCAGAGACCAUCUUACUGCUGUGAUGGCUGGCAGCGAGUCAAGUCGGUUUGUUUACUGUGGCCAAGCUCCAUUGCCAGUGUGUUGUUACCAUCUUCAUGGAUGGCGAGGCAGCAGCAACAGGGGUUUUCUUCUCCCCGGUUCCUAUCCAGGGCAGAGCAGCCUUGGAGCUGGUGGUCUGGUGGUGGCUUUAGGCUUUGCUCUGUACCAUCAUUUAUAGGUACCUAGUGUCUGUAUUAUACCCCUUUGAAUACCUAGAAAGAUUUUGGUUCCCUGAACUGAAUCUUAAACUAUACUACUUUAUAGUGUUCAUUUUUUUGUAUAGUAAGAUUUA
Molecule: long non-coding RNA, 602 nt
Organism: Mustela erminea (ermine)
Lineage: Eukaryota; Metazoa; Chordata; Mammalia; Carnivora; Mustelidae
Exons: 3
Source: RefSeq, a predicted model, not a curated record